UCCUACGGGACGCAGCAGUGGGGAAUAUUGCACAAUGGGGGAAACCCUGAUGCAGCGACGCCGCGUGAGUGAAGAAGUAUCUCGGUACGUAAAGCUCUAUCCGCAGGGAAGAAAAAAAGUCUUUGGCUUUGGACGGUACCUGACUAAGAAGCCCCGGCUAACUACGUGCCAGCAGCCGCGGUAAUACGUAGGGGGCAAGCGUUAUCCGGAUUUACUGGGUGUAAAGGGAGCGUAGACGGCAGCGCAAGUCUGUAGUGAAAUGCCGGGGCUCAACCCCGGAACUGCUUUGGCAACUGUGCAGCUAG
Molecule: ribosomal RNA, 305 nt
Filed under: uncultured bacterium
Lineage: Bacteria
Description: bacterial SSU rRNA
Rfam family: Bacterial small subunit ribosomal RNA
Source: RNAcentral